CCCUCCGCCCGUGACACGGACUGCGAGCGGGAGCCGGGGCUUCAGCCGCAACCCUCCGGCAGCGCCGGCUGAGGAGCACGAAAGAGCAGUGCCCGUGGCGGGCAGCUGCCAAACGCUGUCUGGCUCCAGCAUCCAAACACCGGCUCCAGCGUCCAUCCCUUUUCCAAACCGCGCCACAGCCCCGAGGAAUCCCCGGGGGAUAAGAAGCCAAGUGACAGAUUCAACAUUCAACAGCCAGAAAAUGAUACCUGAUCAAGGAAAAUCCUUGCCAGGGGAGCACAGUCAGUGGAUUUGAGGAAUCGUACCACAUCAGCCACGCUCCAUUCCAGAGGGUUACUGUCCAGCUGCAGCUUUUCAGCAACUUCCAUCUUUAUGUCCUAGACAAGCCAAAACAAUUCCCAAAAUAUCACAUGCUUGGCCUUUAUUACAGUCCUAUGACCCAACCAUAACAAACAUCAGGGAUUUUAAUUAUUCUGUAGAGUUUUCACAACACCCUUCACGGGGAAACAGAGAACACACAUAUUGUGGUUAAUACCCCCAAGAUUUUGGUGCUUGCCCAGCAGGCAGCAAGCCAGGGCAGAAAUCUACAUUCCAAGCUACCUUUGGCGAAGGAGGUUUAUUUUCAUCAUCAGAAAAGGAGAAGGUCCUGAGCUUCCUCUUCCGCUUGUCUCGGUCCUGAGCCAGGGAAUGAGACAGUUCACUCUGGGUGGGAGAUGAUGAUAGGGAUUUCUUCUCUGACACCUCUGAUUCUUCAAGCAGCUCAUCUUGGUGCUCUGAGGUGCUGUCCUCAGUCAGAGACUCUUCAUCCACCUCGUCCUGGUCAUCCUCCUCCUCUGCCCCACUGCCCUGAAGAGUUUGGAGAAAAGAAAGAAAGAAGGCAGCUGUAACCCUGAAGUUGCAAGGAACUAACAUUUGCUGUUUCAAAUGAAGCAGUCAAAGAUCACAUCCCAGAUCCAUGAGCACUGUCCUACCUGGGGAGAUCCAGCUGGAGUGUUAUCCACAGACGUGGAAGAACGUUUUUUCUUAUGAACAAAGAAAUGUUUUCGUCUCUUCCGUCUUUUAUUUGGUUUCUUCAUGGCUACUUCCAGGUUGCUGUGGCCACCCGGGGGCCGCCCUAUCCGCUUGUUUUUCCGCUUUCCAUAAUAGUGUGCUGCCAGGACAGAAGGAAGGAGCACACUGUUGAAAUGCACCUUCAGUGUCACUAGUUAUGCUUGCCCCUCAUCAGGACUGGAAAAUCAGUAGAAGGACAUUUCCCAAUAGGAAUCCCAGUUCUGCAAAUCUUCAAAAUCACUAUGUCUCCAUCUUCCACUUCAAUUUGGUUUAAGGAACAAGAGUUACUGAUCAGUUUUGUUUGCCCUGUAAAGAUUUACUUCCUCCAUCUCUGGGAAGCCCCCAGAUGAUCCUAUUUUAUACAAAACUUAUCAAGGAUUUGGUCCAAUUUAAUGGUGCUUUUUAUGAUGAUUUGUAGUUUUUAAACAUAGCCUCAAUGCACUGUUCGUUCUCGCAGUGUCAAAUGGUUAAAGCCAGUCUACAAAAACCCUAAAAACUAAGAAUAGAGCUUGAGGGUGUUGCAUGUUUUUCCCCAUGACAAAUCAAUAAAAGGAAUUAUAAUGCCAUGAA
Haemorhous mexicanus (house finch) is the source of this 1620-nucleotide long non-coding RNA. RefSeq lists it as uncharacterized. NCBI's taxonomy places the organism in Eukaryota, Metazoa, Chordata, Aves, Passeriformes, Fringillidae. The transcript has 2 exons. The record is from RefSeq and is a predicted model, not a curated record.